AGAGUUUGAUCCUGGCUCAGAUUGAACGCUGGCGGCAGGCCUAACACAUGCAAGUCGAGCGGAUGAAGGGAGCUUGCUCCUGGAUUCAGCGGCGGACGGGUGAGUAAUGCCUAGGAAUCUGCCUGGUAGUGGGGGAUAACGUCCGGAAACGGGCGCUAAUACCGCAUACGUCCUGAGGGAGAAAGUGGGGGAUCUUCGGACCUCACGCUAUCAGAUGAGCCUAGGUCGGAUUAGCUAGUUGGUGGGGUAAAGGCCUACCAAGGCGACGAUCCGUAACUGGUCUGAGAGGAUGAUCAGUCACACUGGAACUGAGACACGGUCCAGACUCCUACGGGAGGCAGCAGUGGGGAAUAUUGGACAAUGGGCGAAAGCCUGAUCCAGCCAUGCCGCGUGUGUGAAGAAGGUCUUCGGAUUGUAAAGCACUUUAAGUUGGGAGGAAGGGCAGUAAGUUAAUACCUUGCUGUUUUGACGUUACCAACAGAAUAAGCACCGGCUAACUUCGUGCCAGCAGCCGCGGUAAUACGAAGGGUGCAAGCGUUAAUCGGAAUUACUGGGCGUAAAGCGCGCGUAGGUGGUUCAGCAAGUUGGAUGUGAAAUCCCCGGGCUCAACCUGGGAACUGCAUCCAAAACUACUGAGCUAGAGUACGGUAGAGGGUGGUGGAAUUUCCUGUGUAGCGGUGAAAUGCGUAGAUAUAGGAAGGAACACCAGUGGCGAAGGCGACCACCUGGACUGAUACUGACACUGAGGUGCGAAAGCGUGGGGAGCAAACAGGAUUAGAUACCCCGGUAGUCCAA
This 795-nucleotide ribosomal RNA is filed under the name uncultured bacterium. Its description in RNAcentral is "bacterial SSU rRNA". It matches the Rfam family "Bacterial small subunit ribosomal RNA", at positions 8 to 798 of the family's 1533-position model. The record is from RNAcentral.